ACGCUCGACACCUACGGGGGGCAGCAGUGGGGAAUAUUGCACAAUGGGGGAAACCCUGAUGCAGCGACGCCGCGUGGAGGAAGAAGGUCUUCGGAUUGUAAACUCCUGUUGUUGGGGAAAAAGAGGAUGGUACCCAACAAGGAAGUGACGGCUAACUACGUGCAAGCAGCCGCGGUAAUCUGAGCGGGCUGGCAAGGC
RNAcentral lists this ribosomal RNA (198 nucleotides) under uncultured bacterium. Its description in RNAcentral is "partial 16S ribosomal RNA". It matches the Rfam family "Bacterial small subunit ribosomal RNA", at positions 328 to 539 of the family's 1533-position model. The record is from RNAcentral.